AAAGUGCUUACCCUCUUGUGGUUGCGAUUUUACCUGAUGUGCCCGAAGAACAUCGUGAGAUCUUAAGGUCGCAAGGUUGCAUCAUUCGAGAAAUUGAUCCUAUAUAUCCACCUGAUAACCAGAUUCAGUUUGCAAUGGCAUAUUAUAUCAUCAAUUAUUCUAAGCUCCGUAUAUGGAAUGUAAGUAUAGAUUCUAAACACGCUGGUGUUAUUGAUGAUGAUACUAGGAGUUCUAUUUAUGCAUGCAUGUUCAAGCAUUUUAUUCUUCUUUUUUCCCUUUAAUUCUAUUUUAAAAUGCAUAUUUCAUAACAUGCAUUUGUGUAUUUGAUAAACAUAUAAAUUUCUUAGCCAUAAUAUUACAUGCAUAUCUUCGUGCAAAGCAUUAAUCAAGGAGAAAACACUAUACAACAUUUAGUGUUCAAUUGCUUCUAUUCAAGUAAUUUGAAAUUGACUACCCUCUCUAGAGUUUGUGUAUGUGUUACAUGUUCAUGUUCAAUUGCUUUUCGCCACCCUGUUAGGUCCAUCAGUUAAUGGAAGAUCUCAAGUAUAACGUCUUCAAGAAACCAAGUUUCGGUCUACCCCUCGUGUGUUCUACCUAGAUAACUGUCACCUUUAUAAAAUGGGGCCUCUUUUUGUCAAAUCAGGCCUCAGUUACCACCUAAGUCAUUCUUCUCUUAAUUUUUCCUCAAUGGGCACCACAUUCACUUCUUGUCUGCAUAUCCUCAUUCGUUAUCAAAUCAUUUUAGUAUGACCAUACAUCCAUCUUAACAUCCUCAUUUUCGAUAUGUCCAUCUUAUCGAAAACCGUAAUCAUCUAAACUUCUUCCUUUUUUCUCGUUAAUAAUACAGUUUGAGGAGUACAACAAGAUGGUUUACCUUGAUGCAGACAUCCAAGUUUAUGAAAACAUAGACCAUCUCUUGGACACACCUAAUGGUCACUUCUAUGCUGUAAUGGAUUGCUUCUGCGAGAAGACAUGGAGUCACUCCCCACAGCACUCCAUUGGGUAUUGCCAACAGUGCCCAGAUAAGGUUACAUGGCCUGCUGAAAUGGGUUCACACCCUCCAUUGUAUUUCAAUGCUGGGAUGUUUGUGUUCGAGCCAAACAGAUUUACUUAUGAAAAUCUUCUUCAAACUCUCACUGUCACUCCACCAACACCAUUUGCAGAGCAGGUGAGUUAUGUGUGUUGUUGUAUAAUAACAAAAGCUUCAAUCUAAUUUGAGAUUUUCUAGAACCUUAGACGAGCGAUUGUGCUUGAAUGGGUAUUCUACUGGCUACUUUGAUAAUCCCAGUGGCUAGGGAAACUUCUGAGCAUUGGACAAUAUCAAUUAUAAAAGCAGUUAAGACAUUAGGAGCUAUGAUAAGGUUUCAGUUCUGGUUGCUUAGGUAUAAUCACGAGUCCUCAAUGUGUAGAAUUAUGCGAGGCAUGUUUGGACUGAACCUUUUUUCCUUGAAUUAUACAGCCUAAUAUUGUGCCUUACACCUUACAGAAGAAACUAAUAGGCUUCCAGUGCAAUGUGGCUAAAAUCUUUAUGCAGCUGAUUUAUAAAAUUAGUUGGAAGAACCGAUGACAAUGUUUAGGCAGGCCAUUUUGUAGGAUUUUUUGAACAUCAUUUCUAAUUGCUUUACUUUGGAAUGACAGGAUUUAUUGAACAUGUUCUUCCAACAAACCUAUAAACCCAUUCCACUGGUUUACAACCUGGUUCUUGCUAUGCUAUGGCGCCACCCCGAAAAUGUUGAACUCGAUAAAGUUAAAGUUGUUCACUACUGUGCUGCUGUAAGUAUUUACUAUCUAAAAACCAUUUUGCCCGUAGAGAAUUAUACAUAUGAGCGCAUAUUUCGUUUGUAGUGUAAGAUUGUGUAACGGACAAGAACUUAACUUCUUUUCAGCCAAGCUUAAAAGAAACUCAAACUUACUUUUAAGUAACUUUUGAUUUCCAAACAUGUUUGAAUAUUUUUACUUUUUCUUAAUUAUGAGUAAAAAAUUACUUACUUUUGACAUGGUACGUGAUAAUUUCAAUUUCUAACUUUGAAUUUCAAACAUUUUUAAAUUCUAAAUCAUUCUUAUUGAUUAACAUGGAAUUUACUUUAAACUAAUUAUUUAAAGCUUAGUCAAACAUACACCUAAUAUUGUUCGGUACAUAUACUGUCCGCCUUUCUCGACAAGAUACUGGGCUUAUUGGUACUUCUUUAAAAAAAAAAAAUAAUAAUAAAAAAUAAAAAUAAAAAAAAUAAAACCUUCACUAACAUGGUUUAAUUUCCUAACAGGGAUCAAAGCCAUGGAGGUACACAGGCAAAGAAGCCAACAUGGAGAGAGAAGACAUCAAGAUGCUAGUCAAUAAAUGGUGGGACAUUUAUAAUGAUUCAUCCCUUGAUUUUAAUGCUGAAGAAUCAGAAGUUUCAGAGGAAAAAACCUUCUCAUUACCAUCAAUCAUGGCUGCAGUGCCUGAACCUACAGUAUCCUAUAUUCCUGCUCCUUCUGCUGCAUAAACGAAGAAAAUAUCUGUCUUUA
Molecule: long non-coding RNA, 2508 nt
Filed under: Olea europaea (common olive)
Lineage: Eukaryota; Viridiplantae; Streptophyta; Magnoliopsida; Lamiales; Oleaceae
Description: long non-coding RNA (OEUR_LNC000206)
Source: RNAcentral